UAACGCGUAUGCAACCUACCCUGUACUGAGGUAUAGCCCGGAGAAAUUCGGAUUAACCCCUCAUAGUAUUAUUUUAUCGCAUGAUAAUGAUAAUUAAAGGUUACGGUACAGGAUGGGCAUGCGUCCUAUUAGCUAGAUGGUAAGGUAACGGCUUACCAUGGCUACGAUAGGUAGGGGGCCUGAGAGGGUGGUCCCCCACACUGGUACUGAGACACGGACCAGACUCC
RNAcentral lists this ribosomal RNA (227 nucleotides) under uncultured bacterium. Its description in RNAcentral is "partial 16S ribosomal RNA". It matches the Rfam family "Bacterial small subunit ribosomal RNA", at positions 111 to 339 of the family's 1533-position model. The record is from RNAcentral.